Molecule: ribosomal RNA, 350 nt
Filed under: uncultured Cryptophyta
Lineage: Eukaryota; Cryptophyceae
Description: SSU rRNA
Rfam family: Bacterial small subunit ribosomal RNA
Source: RNAcentral
UACAGAGGAUGCAAGCGUUAUCCGGAAUCACUGGGCAUAAAGCGUCUGUAGGUGGUUUGGUAAGUCUGCUGUUAAAGACUGGGGCUCAACCCCAGAAAAGCAGUGGAAACUGCUAGACUUGAGUGUGGUAGAGGUAGAGGGAAUUCCUAGUGUAGCGGUGAAAUGCGUAGAUAUUAGGAAGAACACCAAUGGCGAAGGCACUCUACUGGGCCAUAACUGACACUGAGAGACGACAGCUAGGGGAGCAAAUGGGAUUAGAUACCCCAGUAGUCCUAGCCGUAAACGAUGGAUACUAGAUGUUGCACGUAUUAACCCGUGCAGUAUCGUAGCUAAGGCGUUAAGUAUCCCGC